CUUAGUCUUAAUAUACUAUCCCGAACUCUAACUCUUAACAUAAUCCUUGCACACACUCUGUUCGAGUCACAUGCGCCUAAAUGCUCUCCUCUGAUCAUUAUGUAAAGGGAGAGCUUCGAUUUCGGUAUCCAGUGGGCGUGUCUAUGGGCGUGUCUUACAAAGCGAGAGAACACGAGAAGCUCAAAUCGGACGCUGGUCUCAAAUAAAAGCGAAUGGUGGAGCAGACAGGCAGAUAGAUCUUGUGCUUAUACAGAAAGAGAUGGACAGAACGUCCAGCUGCUUAGUCCUCUCUCUCAUUCUGUCCAUUUUCCUCUUCGUGGGAAUGGCGCAGAGUGAUGCAGAAGUCCUGGAUGGAGGGAUACAAAGGGAAUGCUAUUUCUCCCUGGAACAAAUGCUUGAUUGCAUUCAACUUGCUUGUUUGGCUUCAAACAAACACUGCAACAACAAUUCUGAUCAUUAUUUUGUUUGUGGAAUAGAUGAAUGCCGCAGAGUCAAAUCGAAGUGUGAGAAGCCCAGGAACAAGGAUUUCACACCUGAGGAAAUUUGCGAGGAAGAUGAGUUUUCAAAAGUGGACACACAUUGUGUGAAGAACAGUCAUAAAUACCUGAAUGGUUUGCAAGAGUGCAAAACGAAAGGAUACCUGGAAGCAAAGAGGACCUGCUUUGACGCAGUCUAUAGAAAACGCAUUCAGAUUGAAGAUUGCACGCUGAACAAUUGUUUCAGUGAUGUACACGACUGCCUGAAGGAUUAUUACUUCAACUUUCCCUUGAAUCUAGCACAGCGCAGAACGUUUAACACCACCACCUGUGCCUUCAUUGCUGUGGAAUACGCGCAAGAUUGUGAAAUGUUCACUUCUCGCAAUUGCUCACUGGAGCUCAAGCAGUGCCACAUCGCGUGCAGCACCUCCUGGGUAAGCGUGAUGGUCCCUGUGUUCGUAAUCCUGAUAUCCGUCAGCCUCUUUAUCGCAGGAGGCCUGUUCUAUCUCUGUUCCUACUCAACUCAGCAAAGACGGCACGCAGCCAUGUACCAGUUUGAAUAACCGUCUUCCCUGACCAUUGCUCUUUUCAAGGCUUUAUGAAAGCAACUAUAACGGUGAUGUGAUACAAUGGAAAAAAAUUGAAGGGGGGUGGGGGGGGGUUAUUUUAAUAUCACCAAGAACAUUUACACUGGAGGGAGCGGGGGGGGGAGCAUGUGUGUGCAUCACAUAGGAGUGGGGGGGCAUGUGUGUGCAUCACAUGUACAUAUAUUUGCAUUCAAUUACGUGAUGUGUGGUUGCUUAGAUUUUAACCACAGUCGUUCAAAUUUAUUUUGAACACACAAAGUAUUGUUUUACCGUAGAUAUAGGGCAAGCACUCCUCCUUUGGGAUGUACACUCCUUUUGGGUACUUAUAUGCAGACGAGGUAUUGUUUUGUUUUUUUUAAUUUGUGUCCUUGUUCGCUUUGUUUCCACAUUUAGCGAUAAAAUAAUUAUUCAUUCUUAAUGUGAACUUCAAUCUUCGGUUGUAUUUGACCUUGCUGUUUGGUCACACCACCGUGUCAGGUCGACACGUAUAAGAAAGGAAGUAGAAUCUGUAACUUUGCUCACGUCUACCUUAUGGUAGUGAAGUUCGAUGACAUCAUGAUGGACCCACAUAGGGAAGAAGAGGGAGUGAUCGUGGAAGAGGCUAAUAAUCACGUGAGAGCAUGAAGGAAAUCACGAUGCGGUGAGGGACCUUCGUCGUAUUGAAGAUCCGACUGAAACGCGAUGUGACGACAUUCCAUCAAACGUGACGCGACACCAUUGUAUAAGCUUGUCUGCACUGUAACGGUGACCUGUUUGGUGUUGCCAUCUCAGCCGACUGCUCGUGAUGCUGUGACCCCAGGUCCAAAUCUCAUACUGUGUUGACCUGUCUGAUGUCCUUGUCCUACAAAAAGGGGUGGGAGUUUGGAGGAGACUAAUUGAGAAAUAGAAAAUGGGGAAUGGGGAAUGAGGAAUGAUAGUCGAGGAGGAAGGAGAGAAGAAACACAGACAGGGAAUCUGGGUGAAUGGGGGUGGAUGUUGGGAGGGGGGAGUUUGAAAUUUUGCAGACGUAAUAUGUAGAUGCUCCCUCAUCUUUCAUACAAGCCCCAUCAACUGUAAAACUGAUGACGCAUAAUUUUGGGAAUCAUCAAAAAUAUCAAAGCCACAAUUAAGCAAUCUUUUUGUUAAACAACCUUCAGCACCUGUAAACCUGCAAUGAAAGUUUGACAUUUUCAAAAAAAGAAACAGUUUGAAAAAAAUGAAAUGGAAGUAUCAAAGCUGGUGUGGGAACCUCGACAUGGAAAGAUGGAGCUCAGGAGUAUCAGAAUGAGAUUGAGGGAAAAGAUGGAGAUCCGUUUUGGGUGGAAUAGGUGGCAAUAUUGUGACUUAUUUUUGUUGUUGUUUUUUAUCGGUUUGUAUUAGUUUGUAUUACUCCGAAUAAAAAGUUUUGUUUUCCAAGUACCAGUGUGUGAUUUGUACAUCUAUUCUGUCACCUUUAACCAUUUGCACCCUGCCC
This is a long non-coding RNA of Eptatretus burgeri (inshore hagfish), 2516 nucleotides long. The record is from Ensembl. Lineage: Eukaryota; Metazoa; Chordata; Myxini; Myxiniformes; Myxinidae.